RNAcentral lists this ribosomal RNA (515 nucleotides) under uncultured Alternaria. RNAcentral's name for it is "eukaryotic LSU rRNA". The stretch from base 154 to 307 matches the Rfam family "5.8S ribosomal RNA". The record is from RNAcentral. Lineage: Eukaryota; Fungi; Ascomycota; Dothideomycetes; Pleosporales; Pleosporaceae.
GGCGGGCUGGAAACUCUCGGGGUUACAGCCUUGCUGAAUUAUUCACCCUUGUCUUUUGCGUACUUCUUGUUUCCUUGGUGGGUUCGCCCACCACUAGGACAAACAUAAACCUUUUGUAAUUGCAAUCAGCGUCAGUAACAAAUUAAUAGUUACAACUUUCAACAACGGAUCUCUUGGUUCUGGCAUCGAUGAAGAACGCAGCGAAAUGCGAUAAGUAGUGUGAAUUGCAGAAUUCAGUGAAUCAUCGAAUCUUUGAACGCACAUUGCGCCCUUUGGUAUUCCAAAGGGCAUGCCUGUUCGAGCGUCAUUUGUACCCUCAAGCUUUGCUUGGUGUUGGGCGUCUUGUCUCUAGCUUUGCUGGAGACUCGCCUUAAAGUAAUUGGCAGCCGGCCUACUGGUUUCGGAGCGCAGCACAAGUCGCACUCUCUAUCAGCAAAGGUCUAGCAUCCAUUAAGCCUUUUUUCAACUUUUGACCUCGGAUCAGGUAGGGAUACCCGCUGAACUUAAGCAUACAA